This 649-nucleotide small RNA is filed under the name uncultured fungus. RNAcentral's name for it is "eukaryotic LSU rRNA". The stretch from base 213 to 367 matches the Rfam family "5.8S ribosomal RNA". The record is from RNAcentral. Lineage: Eukaryota; Fungi.
GGAAGGAUCAUUACAGAAUUGUCAACGGGUUGUUGCUGGUCCUCGAACGGGGACAUGUGCACGCUCUGUUUACACAUCCACUCACACCUGUGCACCCUCCGUAGUUCUGUGGUCUGGGGGACCCCUGUCUUCCUGCCGUGGUUCUAUGUCUUUACACACACACUGUAAUAAAGUAUUAUGGAAUGCAUGCCGCGUUUAACGCAAUACAAUACAACUUUCAGCAACGGAUCUCUUGGCUCUCGCAUCGAUGAAGAACGCAGCGAAAUGCGAUAAGUAAUGUGAAUUGCAGAAUUCAGUGAAUCAUCGAAUCUUUGAACGCACCUUGCGCCCCUUGGCUAUUCCGAGGGGCAUGCCUGUUUGAGUAUCAUGAACACCUCAACUCUCACGGUUCGCCGUGAUGAGCUUGGACUCUGGGGGUUUUGCUGGCCUGCGGUCGGCUCCCCUCAAAUGAAUCAGCCUCCCAGUGUUUGGUGGCAUCACGGGUGUGAUAAAUAUCUACGCUCGCAGUUGUCCGCCAGGUAACCUUUGGUGACAAAGGUUCGCUGGAGCUCACAGAUGUCUCUCCUCAGCGAGGACAGCUUUUUGAACGUUCGAUCUCAAAUCAGGUAGGACUACCCGCUGAACUUAAGCAUAUCAAUAAGCGGAGGAA